RNAcentral lists this ribosomal RNA (309 nucleotides) under uncultured bacterium. RNAcentral describes it as "partial 16S ribosomal RNA". It matches the Rfam family "Bacterial small subunit ribosomal RNA", at positions 355 to 657 of the family's 1533-position model. The record is from RNAcentral.
UAGGGAAUCUUCCACAAUGGACGCAAGUCUGAUGGAGCAACGCCGCGUGAGUGAAGAAGGUUUUCGGACCGUAAAGCUCUGUUGUUGGUGAAGAAGGAUAGAGGUAGUAACUGGCCUUUAUUUGACGGUAAUCAACCAGAAAGUCACGGCUAACUACGUGCCAGCAGCCGCGGUAAUACGUAGGUGGCAAGCGUUGUCCGGAUUUAUUGGGCGUAAAGCGAGCGCAGGCGGAAGAAUAAGUCUGAUGUGAAAGCCCUCGGCUUAACCGAGGAAUUGCAUCGGAAACUGUUUUCUUGAGUGCAGAAGAGG